RNAcentral lists this transfer RNA (71 nucleotides) under Loxodonta africana (African savanna elephant). It matches the Rfam family "tRNA". Rfam says of the family: Transfer RNA (tRNA) molecules are approximately 80 nucleotides in length. Their secondary structure includes four short double-helical elements and three loops (D, anti-codon, and T loops). The record is from Rfam by way of RNAcentral. Lineage: Eukaryota; Metazoa; Chordata; Mammalia; Proboscidea; Elephantidae.
GCAGUGGUGGUUCAGUGGUAGAAUGAUUGCCUUCCACGUGGGAGACCUGGGUUUGAUUCCCGGUCAAUGCA